RNAcentral lists this ribosomal RNA (313 nucleotides) under uncultured bacterium. RNAcentral describes it as "bacterial SSU rRNA". It matches the Rfam family "Bacterial small subunit ribosomal RNA", at positions 28 to 334 of the family's 1533-position model. The record is from RNAcentral.
GAUGAACGCUGGCGGCGUGCCUAACACAUGCAAGUCGAACGGACAUAAUUUGAAACCUAGUGAGAAUUAUGUUAGUGGCGGACGGGUGAGUAACGCGUGGGUAACCUGCCCCAUACCGGGGGAUACCAGCCGGAAACGGCUGCUAAUACCGCAUAAGCGCACAGCUUUGCAUGAAGCAGUGUGAAAAACUCCGGUGGUAUGGGAUGGACCCGCGUCCGAUUAGCCAGUUGGCGGGGUAGAGGCCCACCAAAGCGACGAUCGGUAGCCGGCCUGAGAGGGCGGACGGCCACAUUGGGACUGAGACACGGCCCAA